UUGCUUUGGCAGCACAUACACUAAAAUUGGAACAAUACAGAGAUUAACAAGACCCCUGCACAAGGAUGACACGCAAUUCGUGAAGUGUUCCAUAUUAAA
Molecule: small nuclear RNA, 99 nt
Filed under: Vicugna pacos (alpaca)
Lineage: Eukaryota; Metazoa; Chordata; Mammalia; Artiodactyla; Camelidae
Source: RNAcentral